Molecule: ribosomal RNA, 465 nt
Filed under: uncultured bacterium
Lineage: Bacteria
Description: partial 16S ribosomal RNA
Rfam family: Bacterial small subunit ribosomal RNA
Source: RNAcentral
GAUGAACGCUGGCGGCGUGCUUAACACAUGCAAGUCGAACGGAAAGGCUCCUGCUUGCAGGGGUACUCGAGUGGCGAACGGGUGAGUAACACGUGGGUGAUCUGCCCUGCACUUCGGGAUAAGCCUGGGAAACUGGGUCUAAUACCGGAUAGGACGAUGGUUUGGAUGCCAUUGUGGAAAGUUUUUCGGUGUGGGAUGAGCUCGCGGCCUAUCAGCUUGUUGGUGGGGUAAUGGCCUACCAAGGCGUCGACGGGUAGCCGGCCUGAGAGGGUGUACGGCCACAUUGGCACUGAGAUACGGCCCAGACUCCUACGGGAGGCAGCAGUGGGGAAUAUUGCACAAUGGGCGCAAGCCUGAUGCAGCGACGCCGCGUGGGGGAUGACGGCCUUCGGGUUGUAAACUCCUUUCGCUAGGGACGAAGCGCAAGUGACGGUACCUGGAGAAGAAGCACCGGCUAACUACGUG